The sequence is a ribosomal RNA, 254 nucleotides long. It matches the Rfam family "Bacterial large subunit ribosomal RNA", at positions 509 to 762 of the family's 2925-position model.
GAAAGGUGAAAAGUACCCCGGGAGGGGAGUGAAAUAGUACCUGAAACCGUUUGCUUACAAACCGUUGGAGCCUCCUUAGUAGGGGUGACAGCGUGCCUUUUGAAGAAUGAGCCUGCGAGUUAGCGAUACGUGGCGAGGUUAACCCGAGUGGGGUAGCCGUAGCGAAAGCGAGUCUGAAUAGGGCGAUUCAGUCGCGUGUCCUAGACCCGAAGCGAAGUGAUCUAUCCAUGGCCAGGUUGAAGCGACGGUAAGAC